Molecule: ribosomal RNA, 1022 nt
Filed under: Umbelopsis dura
Lineage: Eukaryota; Fungi; Mucoromycota; Umbelopsidomycetes; Umbelopsidales; Umbelopsidaceae
Description: Umbelopsis sp. YNW-2018b partial 28S ribosomal RNA
Rfam family: Eukaryotic large subunit ribosomal RNA
Source: RNAcentral
CAAAUUUUGAUCUGAAAUCAGGUAGGAUUACCCGCUGAACUUAAGCAUAUCAAUAAGCGGAGGAAAAGAAACUAACAAGGAUUCCCUCAGUAACGGCGAGUGAAGCGGGAAGAGCUCAAAUUUAAAAUCUGGUUUACUUGUAAGCCCGAGUUGUAGUCUGAAGAAACGUUUUCCAUAAGCACUGAGGCAAAAGUCCCUUGGAACAGGGCAUCAUAGAGGGUGAGAAUCCCGUCCAUGGUCUCAAGUUGUUUAUUUUGUGAUACGUUUUCAAAGAGUCAGGUUGUUUGGGAAUGCAGCCUAAAAUGGGUGGUAAAUUUCAUCUAAAGCUAAAUAUUGGCGAGAGACCGAUAGCGAACAAGUACCGUGAGGGAAAGAUGAAAAGAACUUUGAAAAGAGAGUUAAACAGUACGUGAAAUUGUUGAAAGGGAACCGUUUGAAGCCAGUCUUACUUGCUCGUGAUCAAUUUUUGCUUCGGCAUGAAUGCACUCUCGGGUAUGGUAGGCCAACGACAGUUUAGAAUGCGAGAAAAAAAUUUGGGAAAUGUGGCCUUCGGGUGUUAUAGUCCCUUAUAAAAUAUCGUGUUCUGGACUGAGGAUCGCAGCAAAAAUGUGGGCAGGUGGAUUUCUGUGGUAACUGUCGGUUAGGACAACUUGUUGACCUAGUCUUCCUUAGCCUCACUAUUUACCUUGCUUCUAAUUUGCUUAGGUCGUUGGCAUAAUGGCUUUAAAUGACCCGUCUUGAAACACGGACCAAGGAGUCUAACAUAUAUGCGAGUAUUUGGGUGGCAAACCCAUAUGCGCAAUGAAAGUGAAAUUAGGUGCCAAACCUUCACGGGUGGCAGCAUCGGCCGGCUCUGACGUUUUAACUGACGAGUCUGAGCAGAAGCAUACAUGUUGGGACCCGAAAGAUGGUGAACUAUGCCUGAAUAGGGUGAAGCCAGAGGAAACUCUGGUGGAGGCUCGUAGCGAUUCUGACGUGCAAAUCGAUCGUCAAAUUUGGGUAUAGGGGCGAAAGACUAAUCG